AAAUUCUGUUGAUGAUCAGCAACAACUGAUGUAGCUCCCAGAAAACAUAGCCCUGCCAUCUUUGACAACUAUUCCUCCAAAGUUAUAGUAGAUGGUCUAGUGAAAAUUAGCUUGUGGGAUGCAAGGUGGACAAGAAGACUAUCAACACUCCUGUAAUCCCAGGGGGACUAAAUUCAGAGAGAGAAAUAACAAAAACACAAUUUAGAAACCAAAAGAGAAAAUGCUGACUCCAAUCAUCUACCCACAGGGUUUAACCCUAGCUAAGAAAUCAGUGUUAUUAAAUACCUGAAUAUUUGGCUUUCAGCCAUGAAGUACUUGGCAGUGUUUGAGGAAUUUCCUAGAGUAGUUCUACGUCCAUCCUUGUCAAGAAGAAGAAGAAGCAAUGUUUGUUG
RNAcentral lists this long non-coding RNA (392 nucleotides) under Homo sapiens (human). RNAcentral's name for it is "non-protein coding lnc-POM121L12-10:1". Lineage: Eukaryota; Metazoa; Chordata; Mammalia; Primates; Hominidae. The record is from RNAcentral.